Long non-coding RNA from Suricata suricatta (meerkat), 823 nucleotides. Lineage: Eukaryota; Metazoa; Chordata; Mammalia; Carnivora; Herpestidae. The record is from Ensembl.
GUACUGAUCCGUAAUCCAUGGGCUCUGCAUGAAUGGCGCCCCCUGGUGUAGCUUCCAUGGCCAGCAUCCUCGCCCUCUUCAAAAGAAAGCACAAUUGUUGAACCUGGCGCUCUGAGCAUCUGUCUCCAUCUUUGAAUGUUGUAAGAGAGAAUCAUGAAGAGGAUGAAAAUAUGAGGGAUUUUCCUCCAUUUUCUACGGGAAGCAGCAAGAAAAAAAUUUGAAUUCUUUAGUUCUCUGCUAACUCAGGCUGCUUGGCUGCUAGAACAGACCAUGAAUUAUUUCUGCUCCAGACUCUGCCUGAUGCGUGCCCUCCGCACAGCGGGCCAGGCUGUCUCCCGCUGCGAAACCUGAAGCAAGAAGAAGCGUAGGUGGAGCCACCAGAGAGCAGGUCACCCCUCCUUCUGGGUGACAGGAAGAGGUGACUCUGUGCACACUUCUCCCAUGACCACUUGUGACAAGCCCUCAGCAUCCUCACAAACAAGUGUUCACUGAACAUCUACUGUGGACCUAGCUGAAUGCGCGUCUGUGACAUACCUUUUCCAUCUGUGAUGCGUUGUGGCCUCCAGCCCCAAAGAGCACCGCGGCCAGGAUGGCGAAGAGGCUCAAGGGAGGAAAGAAGAAGGUCUCAGUGGGAAAGAACUCAAUGUGGUCCAUUUCCUUAAGAAACACCUGCAAAGAAAAAUACAGUUGCUGAGCUUGAGUGAAGAUAUCAGUAGAAAAGUUAUCAUUUCUCCACCGAAGUAUUUAACUUACACAACGUUUUGCCAAUAUCCGGAAACCCAGAAGCAAUUUUCCCCACCCAGGGGUGUGAUUGCAAUAAAAC